Molecule: long non-coding RNA, 2696 nt
Filed under: Populus trichocarpa (black cottonwood)
Lineage: Eukaryota; Viridiplantae; Streptophyta; Magnoliopsida; Malpighiales; Salicaceae
Description: long non-coding RNA (PTRI_LNC004074)
Source: RNAcentral
UGACGGUCCAAUUAGACCAGCUCUUCAAGCCAUGCAGAUCCAGUUGGCACCGGCCCGUAAUCCUUCCACUGCCAGGAGCGGGAGGUGAUCGCUGCUCUGUGAGACCAGCCUCACGCUGUGCCCUCCCCUCUAGGAGCCAGAACACCCAGGUCUUCACUAGGAUGCCUUGGCUCAACUCCUGGCUUGGAACGGGCGGGUCAGAUAAGAGACAGCCUGAACCCGACCUUACGUGCAUAGUCCACGUCCCAUCACUUUAAAGCCCCCACUCAGGUUACAAGCCCGCGUUACCGAGCUCAGCUGGUAAGCAUGUGUCAGGAUUAGGUAUAUAACAUUCAUAUAUUUUUCCUUUCUUUCCGAUGUGGGAUGUUCCUCUCUUACGUGUUCAUUAGGGAAAAAGCUUUGAAUGAGCAAAAAUCUCGGGGCAUAAAAGGUAAUAGAUUCAGGAAGGAGAGGAUUCUCCACUUUCUGGAGAAUCUUGCACUAGGUAAACAACAAGAGAAAUUACAUCAUGAACAAUAACUCACGUUCAUGUGUUACCAAACAGCUUGUAGCUUCAAAUCGCAGGAAACGUGGACGCCACCACGUUGCCAAACGGACUCUAAGUCAAUGCAUACUUUUUUUUUUUUUUCAACGUUGGACAAGUAGAAGUGGUGAAAGGGUUGCAUAAAAUUGAAAGAUGAUUGAUUAAUGAAUCAAUGGCAGCAAAAGUUAAGAUCAUGAACCUUGAUGGCUGUAGAACCAUUGCUUUGAAAACAACUCUUUAAUGUAUAUCUUCGACAAUCAUGAUUUAAUUAAAAACAUGAAAAUGAAGAGAAAAAAAGAAUCUCGUUGUCCAUUUGCUGUCAAACUAUGCUGUUCGAAACUCCAGGAGUAGCCUCUUACAUAAGAGAUAACCCUAAAACCAAUAUGGCUGUAACACCAGCAUAAACAGAAAAAAUGGAAGUUAAACCUCACAUUCCUGUGAAGGCCUUCUUCCCACUACAUGGAAAUAUACUACAAAUGAAAUUCCACUAUUUCUGCAAGAAAAUGCCAGUAUUUUAAAGUAAAUAAGAGAGAAACUUUGUUUAGAUCUAGAAAAACCUUAAUUUUCCUAUUAUUAACUAGAACUAAAUAGUGUGGUGUUUUUACUAUGCCCUGCCUCAAUUGUUCAUCCUCUUAUAUUUUACUGUAGAUAGACUAUGUAAAAUUUUAUAUUUUUUUUUUGUACUCGAAUUGUUUUUGGGCAAUUUAGUCUUAAUUAAAAAACAAUUGAUUUUAAAUUCUUAUGAAAAGAUGGGGUUGGAAGAGGGGAGAAUAAAAUGAAAAACACGGCAAACAUGAGUGACGAGCUAUAAGUUUCCAAUUCUAUUUUGGUACAAAAAAAUUAUUUUUGUUAUUUUUUCAUAUUUUUAUUAUUUUAAUUAAUGCUUCUUUUUUAAAAAAAAAAAAAAACUUAAUUAUUUGUACAUUGAUACUCCUCUUUUUUAUUAUGUUUAGAAAGCCUCUUUUAGAUGAAGGUGAUUUUUAGUUAUGUGUUUAAUUUUUGAAAAUAUUUUUCUAAUUCAUCUAUGAUAUAUAUUUUUUUAUCUUUUUUAUAGAUGAACUAUAUUUUUAAAAAUAAAAAAUAUUAAUUUUCAGAUGAUAUUUUCAAUAUGUGUAGCCUUGUAUAUUAUUCAUGUUCUCCUUUUAUUUUAUUCAAUCAAUUUAAUAUGUUUGUCUAUUUUUAUUAUCAUUUGAUUAAAUAAAAAAUAUUUUAAUAAAUAAAAAUUAGCAAACAUGAUCGGGUUGAAGUCCCGUUUUACGAGAUUAAAUAUCUUAAUCUAAAUCUGCUACGAUUUUUCUAGUUUUAUGUUUAGAUGUUGUUAAUUAUUAUUUAUUAGAGUACAUAGUUUUCAAUUUAUUUAAUUAUAUCCGUGAAUAAAUUUUUUGAAUUGCAUAUACAUUUUUUUAUUUAUAAAAAUACAUAGAGAAACUUGUAUAUAAAAAAUAAAAAUAUUUAUUCAUGGACAAGUACAAGUUACAUAACUAGUGAUAAUCAUAAAACAUGUCAUGAUGCCAUGGUGGCACUCACUGUAUAUGGUCAAAGACAAAAAAAUGAAGCCAUUUUCAUUAGAUUAUGAUUUGAUUGACAAAGGAAUCUUUUUUGGCUGACUGGUACUAUCUCAGGCAGCAGUCCAUUUUCUUCCACCUUCCACUGAGUCACUGACAGCUGAUGUGCCAUGCUCAUUUCGGGUAGUUGGUAUAAAAACAAAAAUCAAAAACUUAAUCGAACCGCUAUGCCAAAUGGACUCUGAACCAUGAAUUGGGUCACCUGUUACGUCAUUGCUAGUUUUAAACCGCUAUGUUGAACAUAUAAACAAAAAAAAUGAUAAAAGUGAUGGUUCAAUUAGAUCAGCCCAUCAGGCCAUGCGGAUCCAGGUGGCACCGGCCCGUAAUCCUUCCACUGCCAGGAGCGGGAAGUGAUCGCUGCUCUGUGAGACCAGCCUCACGCUGUGCCCUCCCCUCUAGGAGCCACGACACCCAGGUCUUCACUAGGAUGCCUUGGCUCAACUCCUGGCUUGGAACGGGCGGGCCAGAUAAGAAACAGCCUGAACCCGACCUUACGUGCAUAGUCCACGUCCCAUCACUUUAAAGCCCCCACUCGGGUUACAAGCCCGCGUUACCGAGCUCAGCUGGUAAGCGUGUGUCAGGGUUAGUUUUAUAAAGUUCAAAUAUUG